GAGGGUAAAACUCAGUGGUAGAGCGCAUGCUUAGCAUGUACGAGAUCCUGGGUUCAAUCACCAGUACCUCCA
Camelus ferus (Wild Bactrian camel) is the source of this 72-nucleotide transfer RNA. It matches the Rfam family "tRNA". From Rfam's summary of the family: Transfer RNA (tRNA) molecules are approximately 80 nucleotides in length. Their secondary structure includes four short double-helical elements and three loops (D, anti-codon, and T loops). The record is from Rfam. Lineage: Eukaryota; Metazoa; Chordata; Mammalia; Artiodactyla; Camelidae.